GAAUGUACCGAUUUCGAUGAUUCUUUUUGAAUCAAAGGCUGGUUUGGCAAAGGUUUUGCGAGCAAACACUAAGGUGCCGCCGGAAUUCAGAUGGGGUUUUGUUGGAUAGUGAAUAGUACCGCAUUGCAGUGAACGUCUAUUGGGAAUAACGCGGUAUUAAAUCAAAGGACUUAACUGUUCCUGCCAGCCCAAUGACUCCUAUAUAUUUGUGUCAAGCUCCAAGGAAUCCUCAAUUUUUUUCUAACUUCAUUACAAAUUAUUGAUUUAUGACAAAAU
RNAcentral lists this unclassified non-coding RNA (276 nucleotides) under Melitaea cinxia (Glanville fritillary). RNAcentral's name for it is "misc RNA ENSMCXG00005013738.1". Lineage: Eukaryota; Metazoa; Arthropoda; Insecta; Lepidoptera; Nymphalidae. The record is from RNAcentral.